Molecule: small RNA, 80 nt
Filed under: Pectobacterium odoriferum
Lineage: Bacteria; Pseudomonadati; Pseudomonadota; Gammaproteobacteria; Enterobacterales; Pectobacteriaceae
Description: Pectobacterium carotovorum subsp. odoriferum isrK
Rfam family: isrK Hfq binding RNA
Source: RNAcentral
GCAGUCGAAAAAUCGGCUGUCGGGAUUGCAACCCCGCUGAAUGAAACCACGUCAAUAUACACGCCGUGAGCGUGUUUUUU